CCAGGAACAAAUCCAAAGUCCUUGAGAUGAUCCCUGGGCAGCAAUGUGGGCUGAAGUGUCUGUUCAAAGCUGGAGACAAAGAGACAACACAAUCCUGAGCCACAUCCCCACCGGCUCUGGCCCCUUGCCACCAUCACCUGCUCACAGGGAUGAUGAGCAGGCAGGCACAAAUGAGAGUCAGUGCUCUGCAGGACUGUUGUGGUCAUGAGGAGAAACUGCUUCCAGAUCUCUCCAGAGGCCAAAGCUGCCCGGGUGUUUGACUCACUUGGGAAAGACGAUGACAUGGCCACUAAAGCUCAGGGAAGCAACAGGCACCACCCGGGAAACCACAAUGUCCAGCUGCUGGAGAGCCUGCAGCACAGAAAUGUGAAGGUUUUGGACUCCUCCAAGAUUCCUCGCCAGGUGGAACACUGGCCUCUGCAGGAUCACAGUCUUGUUCCCCACCAGGGUCUCUGUGUGGACCACAUCAAAAGACCCAAGGGUGGGAAUUCGGAUCCCCUGGAGAAGAAGGGAAAGGCCCAAAGGGUGAGAAUUGGUCAGAGGGAAGAGCUGAGGAUGAUUCCAUCAAGGAACGGUGCCUUUGACCAAACUCUGACAGUUCCCACUCUUCAGACGUCAGGACAGUGGGGAGAGCCCUGGGGAGGAGAUGCUGGGGGCCCUUUUUUCCCUUCACCCACCAAAAAAUCCAUGCUGGAGUCAGACAGAGGCAGCUCAAGGACACCCUGACUCUCCAGUGACCGGCCUCAGCCCUGUGGUACAAUGCCACCUCCCAGAGGCGAUACCACUCUUGCCCAAGCUCCAUUUGUCCCUCAGCAGGAGAUUUUGGGGUGAGCAUCCUGCAUUCUGAGGAGGGCAAGAGGGACUGCAGACCAUGAUCCAUGAGGAGGGCCAUGGGAUCUCCUCACUGCUCUUCUGGGUGGGCAAAGAAGGACGUUGGUAUUGUCUCAGGGUGUUGUCCCAGGGUGUUGCCCCACCUUGUGCAGCAACAGCUGUUGUUGGAUGUUGCUGGCCACUGCAUCCCAGACAGCCUUUCGCUCUGGAAAACAAGAAAAUACCAGGUUAUGCUGUGUUUCUGCUGGCUCUCAGCCUUCCAGCAUCCCUAGCAUGUGUCACAGCUGUCCCCAACUCCACAGGGGUCAGUGCUGAUUCUUUUCCCCACAUCCCUGAGAGGACAGCUACAGCAAUGCUCCUGCCUGUACCUGUGGGGGUUAUGCUGGGCAUCGUGAACACGAACUCCAUCCCACCCCAGAAAUCCAUCUGGGUUGGGCUCACACCACUGACAACAGCCAUGCCCUCAGUGAUGAGGAUGUUCACUCUCGGGGCUCUCUCCAGAGAGCAGAACCUACCUCCCUGAGGCCCCUCGUGUCCUGCUGUGUCACAGGCUCCGUGUGACAUCACAGUCCCACUGCUAUUCCAGAUCAGACUUUUGAAAAAUGAUGCUGAGGGCCCUUUAAAUAGGCUUUGAGCUUUAAAAUCAUAAGCCUUGGAGCUUAUGAGUGUGGUUUUGUAGUCCCAGAGAGUGGGUUUGGACCUCAGAUCAAUUCUUUGGUCUGCCAAAUGUGGGCUUUGGGAAUUUAAAAGUAAUGCUCUUCUCCCUAGUUUUGAGGCUUGUAUUAUAAAUAAGGUUUUGGGCUUGGAAAACUCAGUGUUGAGUCUGAGAAAUAAUCAACAAUAAUCUUCUGGACCUUGAAACUGUGUUUUGAAACCUCUACAUUCUUUUUUUCCCUUUUUGUUUAAAAUAGUGUUUCAAUUGAGGGGUUUCAUUACCCAAGGAUUUCUUUCCUCAGGAUCCCAUUGUGAGGCACCAGCUCUUAAAGCAAGCAGAACUCAGUGUUGUACUAGAGGUUUGUAAGUCAGGGAAAACAGAGACAUUAAAAUACAGUGAAAAAGAUAAAUGGCUUGACUUUAGAGACAUUUAAUGAAUCACUCAGUGCUUAAACCCCAGUGAAUUGAUGAAUGCUGUAGACUCCUCCAAAACAACUGGAAUACAAAAUACCAGAUGACAGGAUAAAAUUGGCUUAUAAAGUGAGCAAUAUUGUGAUUUGGAGUGACCUCCAGGCUCCCUAAUCUUUAACAGCAAAACCGUUCUGACACCAAGGAAAGCAUGAUGGAUCUUGUAUGGCAUUCAUCUGCCUCUUCAAAGAUGUCAAAAGCUGCUUGGGAGAGUUUAUCUGACUCCAGUCUUCAGUGAUCAGAGAUGCCAAGGGGAUUAAGGAGGGAAUUUGAUGCAGUCAGAGGUGUUACAUUUUAGGAAGACAAACUAGACAUCAAACCCAGUGAUUUAAAGUCAUUAGAGAGAAUGAGGGCAACCUUAAAGCAAUUUGAGAGGGAAGCAAAAGCAAAGGCUUGUUCCAGGGUCAGAGCACACAGAAAAGUCUGGGGUAGAUAAAGAAAAAUCUCUAUGGCUGAGGUGACAGCUGAGGACUCCUGAACCUCCACCAGAGACAUUGUUUGUCCUUGCAUGAUCAGCAUUCGACAAUGGAACCUCAGUCCUGUUUGUAAAAUAUAAUUUAUCAAAACGUCUUAUUGUAUAUGAUUCCAAAUGUGCCUCUCAAACAGGAAAGGUUCCCACUUAAAGCCAUAAAGUUUUGUCUGUCCAGGCUCUGCCCUGUUUGCCCCUCAUUAACCCUCUCAUGUGCUCCUCAAUUGCACCUUCAGUUCCUCAAAUAUGAUGUACAAAUCUGAUGCCUUUCAAUAAUGUCUGGUUUAAUCGCAACACACCUCGACUCCAAAAGAAACAGUGAUUCCCUCCAACAUCAAACCAAGGGGAUUCAAAAAAUGCCAGAGAAAACCAAGUGUGCUGGUUUGAUUUGGAUUUUUACCAUAAAAAUAAACAUUCAAAAAAGUCUUCAACUGUAAUUUCCUUAUAGGUAGGGGACGCAAUACAACCAGCACGCAACCUGUGGUUAUUUCCACAUUUGAAUAUAUGCAACUCCAGUAUUUCCUGGGCAUGGACUUGUCAGCAUGAAUUGGGGAAUAAUAUUGAAUUUUGGGGUAUAAUAUUGAUUUGGGAACAGAAAUUCCCUGAAGCUGCAAAGCCACACAUCAUCCAACUCAGGCACCAGAGAGCAGGAAGGGAAAACAAACAGAAGCCAGGAGGAGGAAUUAAUGAUGCAUCUCAUGAAGAGAAGUCAAAAUUAAUUUGUUGUUUUGGAGAAGGCAGCUUUGAGAACCACGGCAAUAGAAACUGA
This is a long non-coding RNA of Passer domesticus (house sparrow), 3191 nucleotides long. RefSeq lists it as uncharacterized. Lineage: Eukaryota; Metazoa; Chordata; Aves; Passeriformes; Passeridae. The transcript is spliced from 3 exons. The record is from RefSeq and is a predicted model, not a curated record.